UUGUAUAAUGGGUCAGCGACUUAUAUUCAGUGGCAAGCUUAACCGUAUAGGGUAGGCGUAGCGAAAGCGAGUCUUAAUAGGGCGUUUAGUCGCUGGGUAUAGACCCGAAACCGGGCGAUCUAUCCAUGAGCAGGUUGAAGGUUAGGUAACACUGACUGGAGGACCGAACCCACUCCCGUUGAAAAGGUAGGGGAUGACUUGUGGAUCGGAGUGAAAGGCUAAUCAAGCUCGGAGAUAGCUGGUUCUCCUCGAAAGCUAUUUAGGUAGCGCCUCAUGUAUCACUCUGGGGGGUAGAGCACUGUUUCGGCUAGGGGGUCAUCCCGACUUACCAAACCGAUGCAAACUCCGAAUACCCAGAAGUGCCGAGCAUGGGAGACACACGGCGGGUGCUAACGUCCGUCGUGAAAAGGGAAACAACCCAGACCGCCAGCUAAGGUCCCAAAGUUGUGGUUAAGUGGUAAACGAUGUGGGAAGGCUUAGACAGCUAGGAGGUUGGCUUAGAAGCAGCCAUCCUUUAAAGAAAGCGUAAUAGCUCACUAGUCGAGUCGGCCUGCGCGGAAGAUGUAACGGGGCUCAAACCACAC
RNAcentral lists this ribosomal RNA (584 nucleotides) under Pseudomonas aeruginosa. Its description in RNAcentral is "partial 23S ribosomal RNA". It matches the Rfam family "Bacterial large subunit ribosomal RNA", at positions 608 to 1192 of the family's 2925-position model. Lineage: Bacteria; Pseudomonadati; Pseudomonadota; Gammaproteobacteria; Pseudomonadales; Pseudomonadaceae. The record is from RNAcentral.